UACGAAGGGGGCUAGCGUUGUUCGGAAUUACUGGGCGUAAAGCGCGCGCAGGCGGUUUUCCAAGUCAGUGGUGAAAGCCCGGAGCUCAACUCCGGAACUGCCAUUGAAACUGUUAAACUAGAGGACGAGAGAGGUGAGUGGAAUUCCCAGUGUAGAGGUGAAAUUCGUAGAUAUUCGGAAGAACACCAGUGGCGAAGGCGGCUCACUGGCCCGUUACCGACGCUCAGGCGCGACAGCGUGGGGAGCAAACAGG
RNAcentral lists this ribosomal RNA (253 nucleotides) under uncultured bacterium. Its description in RNAcentral is "partial 16S ribosomal RNA". It matches the Rfam family "Bacterial small subunit ribosomal RNA", at positions 524 to 776 of the family's 1533-position model. The record is from RNAcentral.